Molecule: long non-coding RNA, 422 nt
Organism: Rhipicephalus sanguineus (brown dog tick)
Lineage: Eukaryota; Metazoa; Arthropoda; Arachnida; Ixodida; Ixodidae
Exons: 2
Source: RefSeq, a predicted model, not a curated record
GCCAACAUUGAGCCCUUCGAACCCAGGCACAAAGGACCAACUUGCAAACGAUGCACUUGUUUUCAUGCUAGCUGGGCUAACAAGCAGGUGGAAACAAGCCGUUGCUUAUCAGCUCACAUAACACAUAAAGAAGGCCUGUGAACUUGAAGCCAAGCACCAGCUGAAGCUCAUGCCUUACUUGAAGCUACGUGACUUGGACCCUACACAUUUGAAAAGAUGAACGUUGCUUCAGCGUACGCCCUUCUUCACCAUGCCACAGCAGCCGGCCUUCGGUACCUUGUUCACAAAAAUCAUCUCCCAAGAGAAGCUCUCACCACAGCAUUUUUCCUUGAACAAGUUUUCAGAUGGUUUAUCAUCUUGACGUCACGAACAAUGAAGACUGCGCUGAGCGAGCUUUGCCCUCAGAAAGGAGAUGAAGCGAA